UGCAAUGGCAUGAUCUCGGCUCACUGC
This 27-nucleotide non-coding RNA is filed under the name Callithrix jacchus (white-tufted-ear marmoset). The record is from RNAcentral. RNAcentral also lists the same sequence under 1 other name. Lineage: Eukaryota; Metazoa; Chordata; Mammalia; Primates; Cebidae.